This is an unclassified non-coding RNA of 272 nucleotides. The stretch from base 1 to 46 matches the Rfam family "Eukaryotic small subunit ribosomal RNA", at positions 1786 to 1831 of the family's 1831-position model.
AAGUCGUAACAAGGUUUCCGUAGGUGAACCUGCGGAAGGAUCAUUAACGAGUUUUUGAAAGGGGUUGUAGCUGGCCAAAAAAUAAGGCAUGUGCACACCCUGCUCAAUCCACUCUCAAACCCCUGUGCACUUAUUGUAGGCUAUGGUGGGAUAGCUGGCUUCGGUCAGUUUGAAAGCCUUGUCUAUGUUUAUUACGAACGCUUCAGUUAAAGAAUGUCAUAUAGCGUCUAACGCAUUAUAUACAACUUUCAGCAACGGAUCUCUUGGCUCUC